Molecule: ribosomal RNA, 403 nt
Filed under: Actinomycetes bacterium
Lineage: Bacteria; Bacillati; Actinomycetota; Actinomycetes
Description: Actinobacteria bacterium partial 16S ribosomal RNA
Rfam family: Bacterial small subunit ribosomal RNA
Source: RNAcentral
UGGGGAAUAUUGCACAAUGGGGGAAACCCUGAUGCAGCGACGCCGCGUGAACGAAGAAGGUAUUCGUAUCGUAAAGUUCUGUCCUAUGGGAAGAUAAUGACAGUACCAUAGAAGAAAGCUCCGGCUAAAGACGUGCCAGCAGCCGCGGUAAUACGUAUGGAGCGAGCGUUGUCCGGAAUUAUUGGGCGUAAAGGGUACGCAGGCGGUUUAAUAAGUCGAAUGUUAAAGAUCGGGGCUCAACCCCGUAAAGCAUUGGAAACUGAUAAACUUGAGUAGUGGAGAGGAAAGUGGAAUUCCUAGUGUAGUGGUGAAAUACGUAGAUAUUAGGAGGAAUACCAGUAGCGAAGGCGACUUUCUGGACACAAACUGACGCUGAGGUACGAAAGCGUGGGGAGCAAACAGG